Molecule: ribosomal RNA, 857 nt
Filed under: Allogalathea longimana
Lineage: Eukaryota; Metazoa; Arthropoda; Malacostraca; Decapoda; Galatheidae
Description: partial 16S ribosomal RNA
Rfam family: Archaeal large subunit ribosomal RNA (bases 734-857)
Source: RNAcentral
GAUAAAUAUAAUAAAUUAAUAUUUAAUCUAAGAAUACAAGGGUAGAGCUUUGUAAUUCAAUAAUAAGUAAAAUAUAAGUUAAUAAAUAAAUAUUAUGAUAAUUAGGCUUUUUAGUGGCUAUAUUUUUAAAGUGUUUUAACUAAUAUGAAAGAUAAUUUAUUUUGUUAUAGCUUUAUUUGUUUAAUAAUAUGUUUUUUAGAACAGGUAAUUAUUAGUAAUAAUGAAAAUAUUAGUAGAAUAAAUAAUAUGAAAAUAAAAAGAGGUAUUAAAGAAAUAAAAUUUAAGUUGAUUAGAAAAAAGCAUAGGAACUCGGCAAAUAAAGUUCUUGCCUGUUUAACAAAAACAUGUCUUUAUGAAGUUAUAUGAAGUCUGACCUGCCCGUUGAGAUGUAUUGAAAGGCCGCGGUAUAUUGACUGUGCAAAGGUAGCAUAAUUAGUAGUUUUUUAAUUGAAGGCUUGUAUGAAAGGUUGGACAAGGGAUAAGCUGUCUUUGUUUUUGUUUUUGAAUUUGUCUUUUAAGUGAAAAGACUUAAAUAAAUUUAAGGGACGAUAAGACCCUAUAAAUCUUUAUAUUAAUAUAAUUUUAUUUUAAAUUUUAAUGUUUAAAAAGAUAGAAUUAAAAAAUAUUGUAUUGGGGUGAUAGGAAUACUAAAUAAACUGUUCAAAUAAAUAAACAAAGAUGUUUGAUUAAGAAAAGAUCCUUGAUGGAGAUUAGAAGUUUAAGUUACUUUAGGGAUAACAGCGUUAUUUUUUUUGAGAGUUCUAAUCGAAAAAAAAGUUUGCGACCUCGAUGUUGAAUUAAAAUUUCUUUGUGGUGUAGCAGCUACAUAAGAAAGUCUGUUCGACUUUUAAAAUUUU